This 317-nucleotide long non-coding RNA is filed under the name Homo sapiens (human). RNAcentral describes it as "HSALNT0015670". The record is from RNAcentral. Lineage: Eukaryota; Metazoa; Chordata; Mammalia; Primates; Hominidae.
CCCAUUUUCCCGUCUGUAAAAUGAGGGCAUUGGGUUAGAUGCCCUUUACAGUUCUCCAGAAGCCUCCAAACCCAGGCCAAUCUGUGAAGGGGCACAUCACAUCUGGUCCCUUAGUUGGUAUGACCUGGAACCUGUCUUAUCAACGUGGAUAGGGAUCAUCUGACCUGGAAGGCAUCAUCAUUUACAGAAGAGAAAAUCAAGGCCCUGACUUCACAGGCCUCGGUUCAACACUUUGUCCACAACUUUGCAUUUCUCUCCAACAAGUAGCCCUAGUUGGUGGAGAUGAACAGGAAGGGAGGGGAAAUGGGUCUGCUUAG